CGUCGUGAGACAGGUUAGUUUUACCCUACUGAUGAAGUUGUUGUCGUACCAGUAGUUCAGGUUAGUACGAGAGGAACCUUUGGACCGCAUCAUUGGUAACGCGGUUGUCUGAAAAGUCAAUGCCGCAAAGCUAUCAUGCGUUCGUUCAGGGCUGAACGCCUCUAAGUCCGAAACGAUGCUGAAGGCGAUGAUAUUACAUGCUUGAUUAGUUACUACGAGUAUCUAUACAGUAAUUUUUGUAAACCGAUUGAAACCAGUGCUGUCAAAAUCAGCGCUUUCUCUCAUCACAAUUUCAACGAAUCAAGCAAGAGAUCCUUUGUAGACGACUUAGCUUGGACGGGGUACUGUAAGCAUGAGAGUAGGCCUUGCCCUACGAUCUGCUGAGAUUAA
Molecule: ribosomal RNA, 390 nt
Filed under: Aplanochytrium sp. PBS07
Lineage: Eukaryota; Bigyra; Thraustochytrida; Thraustochytriidae
Description: partial Eukaryotic large subunit ribosomal RNA
Rfam family: Eukaryotic large subunit ribosomal RNA
Source: RNAcentral